RNAcentral lists this transfer RNA (75 nucleotides) under Candidatus Uhrbacteria bacterium. Its description in RNAcentral is "tRNA-Thr". It matches the Rfam family "tRNA". Rfam says of the family: Transfer RNA (tRNA) molecules are approximately 80 nucleotides in length. Their secondary structure includes four short double-helical elements and three loops (D, anti-codon, and T loops). The record is from RNAcentral. Lineage: Bacteria; Candidatus Uhriibacteriota.
GCCAGCUUAGCUCAGUGGUAGAGCAAUACUUUCGUAAAGUAGAGGUCCCGGGUUCAAGUCCCGGAGCUGGCUCCA